This 253-nucleotide ribosomal RNA is filed under the name uncultured bacterium. RNAcentral's name for it is "partial 16S ribosomal RNA". It matches the Rfam family "Bacterial small subunit ribosomal RNA", at positions 524 to 776 of the family's 1533-position model. The record is from RNAcentral.
UACGAAGGGGGCUAGCGUUGUUCGGAAUCACUGGGCGUAAAGCGCACGUAGGCGGAUUUGUCAGUCAGGGGUGAAAUCCCGGGGCUCAACCUCGGAACUGCCUUUGAUACAGCAAAUCUCGAGCCCGGAAGAGGUGGGUGGAAUUCCUAGUGUAGAGGUGAAAUUCGUAGAUAUUAGGAAGAACACCAGUGGCGAAGGCGGCCCACUGGUCCGGUGCUGACGCUGAGGUGCGAAAGCGUGGGGAGCAAACAGG